GGGCGAGUGGUUUAGUGGUAUAAUUCCUCUUUAGCACUAUCAGAUCUACUUGAUCCGAUUAGAAACUAGAGGCGGUCCGGGGUUCGAUUCCCCGCUUGUCCA
This 102-nucleotide transfer RNA is filed under the name Cephalotrichum gorgonifer. RNAcentral's name for it is "transfer RNA-Ala(AGC)". It matches the Rfam family "tRNA". From Rfam's summary of the family: Transfer RNA (tRNA) molecules are approximately 80 nucleotides in length. Their secondary structure includes four short double-helical elements and three loops (D, anti-codon, and T loops). Further hydrogen bonds mediate the characteristic L-shaped molecular structure. tRNAs have two regions of fundamental functional importance: the anti-codon, which is responsible for specific mRNA codon recognition, and the 3' end, to which the tRNAs corresponding amino acid is attached (by aminoacyl-tRNA synthetases). tRNAs cope with the degeneracy of the genetic code in two manners: having more than one tRNA (with a specific anti-codon) for a particular amino acid; and 'wobble' base-pairing, i.e. permitting non-standard base-pairing at the 3rd anti-codon position. Lineage: Eukaryota; Fungi; Ascomycota; Sordariomycetes; Microascales; Microascaceae. The record is from RNAcentral.